AGUGAACGCUGGCGGCGUGCUUAACACAUGCAAGUCGAACGAGAUCUUCGGAUCUAGUGGCAGACGGGUGAGGAACACGUGGGAACAUCCCUUUCAGUUCGGAAUAACGUUGGGAAACUAACGCUAAUACCGGAUACGUCCUUCGGGAGAAAGAUUUAUCGCUGAAAGAUUGGCCCGCGUCUGAUUAGCUAGUUGGUGAGGUAAUGGCUCACCAAGGCUACGAUCAGUAGCUGAUCUGAGAGGAUGAUCAGCCACAUUGGGACUGAGACACGGCCCAAACUCCUACGGGAGGCAGCAGUGGGGAAUAUUGGACAAUGGGCGCAAGCCUGAUCCAGCCAUGCCGCGUGAGUGAUGAAGGCCUUCGGGUUGUAAAGCUCUUUUAUCCGGGAAGAUAAUGACUGUACCGGAAGAAUAAGCCCCGGCAAACUUCGUGCCAGCCGCCGCCGUAA
Molecule: ribosomal RNA, 449 nt
Filed under: uncultured bacterium
Lineage: Bacteria
Description: partial 16S ribosomal RNA
Rfam family: Bacterial small subunit ribosomal RNA
Source: RNAcentral